UUUCCCUCCUGAUAGCUGGAACACGUAAUGAAGCUGUUAUAUUCGGUAAAGCGAAUGAUUAGAGGAAUUGUGGGACGAAACAUGUUCAACCUCUUUUUCAAACUUUCAAUGAGUAUGACGUCUUGCUUGCUUGAAUGACACGUAAACAUUGAACGUGUACUCUACGUGAGCAUUUUUGGUAAGCGGAACUAGCGAGCUGUGGGAUGAAUUA
RNAcentral lists this non-coding RNA (211 nucleotides) under Onchocerca volvulus. RNAcentral describes it as "Eukaryotic large subunit ribosomal RNA". It matches the Rfam family "Eukaryotic large subunit ribosomal RNA", at positions 967 to 1170 of the family's 3401-position model. The record is from Rfam by way of RNAcentral. Lineage: Eukaryota; Metazoa; Nematoda; Chromadorea; Rhabditida; Onchocercidae.